This 1338-nucleotide ribosomal RNA is filed under the name Triticum aestivum (bread wheat). RNAcentral's name for it is "partial small subunit ribosomal RNA". The record is from RNAcentral. Lineage: Eukaryota; Viridiplantae; Streptophyta; Magnoliopsida; Poales; Poaceae.
AUGGCGGCCAUGGACGAGGUGCUCGCCCUGGUGCCGGGGUUCGUCGACAUCCUCGUCCUCGCCGGCGGCCGCGCCUCCUCCGGUGCCGCCGCCACCUGGCGCCCCGGCGACGUCCAGAAGGCCCUCCGCUGGGCGCACUUCUUCGAGGAGGUCUUCAGGAACCUGCGUGAGUCCGGACAGUACGAGGAUUCCGCCAGAGAGUUCGACGCGGCGCUCGCCGAGCUCGCCUCAAGCCCGGGUUUCCCCAAGGGCCUUGCCGACAUGCGAUCGGAGACGCUCUCGGCGGCCACCGAGCUGGUCAUAAAGCAUUUUCUGAAAGCCGAAACAACGAGCGUGGAGAACAUCCGUGCUCUUCUCGAAGCGGUCGUGGGGAUGGAUAUCGAUGUCAUUGGUGCUGGUGGUGGGCGUGAUGCGUGCCAGCAGUAUGUGAAGUCGAUCCUGAAUAUGUAUCUGUCUGGUUUGACGCGGACCAAGAGUGGCGGCGAUGUCGGAGUUCCCACCACUAGUUCUGAUAGACUGUAUGCAGAAUCCUUGGUUGUGGGUCAUUCGCAGAUUCUGGUUAACCAGCUUCUGGAGCGGUUGGAUUCAGCAUCGUGUAUUUCUCUGGCUGAGAGAGGACUGCGCACACUUCUGGACAGCGUGAAGAAGAACAGCUUCAGUGAUCCAGGCAGCCCAGUGAUCCCUAGAAAAUCACAAACCAUCGAGAAUUUUCUUCGGUGGAAACAGUGGAGAGGGCGGUGUUUGUCAUACUUACUUGAUGAACGCACCGUUAGGAUUGUGUCUGGAUCUAGUUUUAUCUUUAGUGCUCCCAAGGAGCAGUGGAUGAAGGUGUUUGAACCAUUAACAGUUUCUGCAGAUUCUUGUCAGAGUGGCCUCGUUGAAGUCAUGGAGAUAUGCUUGCUGGGUUUGGUUUCAAGGCGAUGGGACACAUUGAUAGAGAGCUUUGUGUCGCAUAUUUUUAGUUCCCUUCCUAUAUCCAAGCAGUAUGCUGAUCUGCACCAGUUGCUUCAGGGAACUUAUCGGGGUGAAUGCCCAGACAAGAUUCGUAAUUUGAAGGAAAAUGACAUUCUUGAGUAUGCAAGGCAAUCAUUGGAAAGUGAACCGCACAUAUUAUGGCUUCUGCCUCCAGUUCUUACUGCUGCAGCAAUUCCGCCACGGUCGAGCUUGUUUGAAAUAUACCUUGCUGAAAUAGAUAAGCAAUUUGAUGAAGCUGUUUUCACAGAACGGAAAUGUAAUUGCAGAAGAGAUGGAAUAGAGCAACAUGAUAGCUGUGAGGUUGCCGAAAGGAUUCAAUGUCUCUACGCUUUCCAUGUUCAGCAACCUCAUCCAAUGGUUUAG